CAAGUCGAACGGCAGCGAGGAGAAGCUUGCUUCUCUGUCGGCGAGUGGCGAACGGGUGAGUAUAGCAUCGGAACGUGCCAAGUAGUGGGGGAUAACCAAACGAAAGUUUGGCUAAUACCGCGUAAGCUCCAAGGAGGAAAGUAGGGGACCUAAAUAAGGCCUUACGCUAUUUGAUCGGCCGAUGUCGGAUUAGCUAGUUGGUGGGGUAAUGGCUCACCAAGGCAAUGAUCCGUAGCGGGUCUGAGAGGACGAUCCGCCACACUGGGACUGAGACACGGCCCAGACUCCUACGGGAGGCAGCAGUGGGGAAUUUUGGACAAUGGGGGAAACCCUGAUCCAGCCAUGCCGCGUGUAUGAAGAAGGCCUUAGGGUUGUAAAGUACUUUUGUUAGGGAAGAAAAGCUAGUUUUUAAUAAAAAUUAGUGAUGACGGUACCUAAAGAAUAAGCACCGGCUAACUACGUGCCAGCAGCCGCGGUAAUACGUAGGGUGCAAGCGUUAAUCGGAAUUAUUGGGCGUAAAGCGAGUGCAGACGGUUACUUAAGCCAGAUGUGAAAUCCCCAAGCUUAACUUGGGACGUGCAUUUGGAACUGGGUGACUAGAGUGUGUCAGAGGGAGGUAGAAUUCCACAUGUAGCGGUGGAAUGCGUAGAGAUGUGGAGGAAUACCGAUGGCGAAGGCAGCCUCCUGGGAUAACACUGACGUUGAGGCUCGAAAGCGUGGGGAG
Molecule: ribosomal RNA, 724 nt
Filed under: uncultured Neisseriales bacterium
Lineage: Bacteria; Pseudomonadati; Pseudomonadota; Betaproteobacteria; Neisseriales
Description: bacterial SSU rRNA
Rfam family: Bacterial small subunit ribosomal RNA
Source: RNAcentral